RNAcentral lists this ribosomal RNA (495 nucleotides) under uncultured Glomeromycotina. RNAcentral describes it as "SSU rRNA". It matches the Rfam family "Eukaryotic small subunit ribosomal RNA", at positions 591 to 1092 of the family's 1831-position model. The record is from RNAcentral. Lineage: Eukaryota; Fungi; Glomeromycota.
CCAAUAGCGUAUAUUAAAGUUGUUGUGGUUAAAAAGCUCGUAGUUGAACCUUGGGCCUGGCUGGCCGGUCCCCCUCACCGGGUGCACUGAUCCAGCCGGGCCUUUCCCUCUGUGGAACCCCAUGGCCUUCACUGGCCGUGGCGGGGAAACAGGACUUUUACUUUGAAAAAAUUAGAGUGCUCCAGGCAGGCCUAUGCUCGAAUACAUUAGCAUGGAAUAAUAGAAUAGGACGUGUGGUUCUAUUUUGUUGGUUUCUAGGACCGCCGUAAUGAUUAAUAGGGACAGUCGGGGGCAUCAGUAUUCAAUUGUCAGAGGUGAAAUUCUUGGAUCUAUUGAAGACUAACUACUGCGAAAGCAUUUGCCAAGGAUGUUUUCAUUGAUAAGGAACGAAAGUUAGGGGAUCGAAGACGAUCAGAUACCGUCGUAGUCUUAACUAUAAACUAUGCCGACUAGGGAUCGGACGAUGUUAUUUCUUGACGCGUUCGGCACCUUUCG